Molecule: microRNA precursor, 175 nt
Filed under: Oryza meridionalis
Lineage: Eukaryota; Viridiplantae; Streptophyta; Magnoliopsida; Poales; Poaceae
Description: MIR812 microRNA precursor family
Rfam family: MIR812 microRNA precursor family
Source: Rfam by way of RNAcentral
AAAGACUUAAUUUCUGGGUUUUCAUGUUUAACGUUUGACCGUCCGUCUUAUAUGAAAUUUUUUCAUGCUUAUUAUUUUCAUUAUUGUUAGAUGAUAAAACAAGAAUAAUACUUUAUACGUGACUUAUUUUUUAAAAUUUUUUUAAAUGAGACAGACGGUCGACACGGAAACCCAG